CCUACGGGAGGCAGCAGUGGGGAAUAUUGCACAAUGGGGGAAACCCUGAUGCAGCCACGCCGCGUGAAGGAAGAAGGAUUUCGGUUUGUAAACUUCUUUCAGUAGGGAGGAAAAUGACGGUAUCUGACUAAUCAGCACCGGCUAAAUACGUGCCAGCAGCCGCGGUAAUACGCAGGGGGCAAGCGUUAUCCGGAUUUACUGGGUGUAAAGGGAGCGUAGGCGGUUUAGCAAGUCAGAAGUGAAAGCCCUGGGCUCAACCCCGGAACUGCUUUUGAAACUGUUGAACUAGAGUGUAGGAGAGGGAGGUGGAAUUCCUGGUGUAGCGGUGAAAUGCGUAGAGAUUAGGAGGAACACCGGUGGCGAAGGCGGCUUACUAGACUAUAAAUGACGCUGAGGCGCGAAAGCGUGGGGAGCAAACAGGAUUAGAUACCCUUGUAGUC
This 440-nucleotide ribosomal RNA is filed under the name uncultured bacterium. Its description in RNAcentral is "partial 16S ribosomal RNA". It matches the Rfam family "Bacterial small subunit ribosomal RNA", at positions 338 to 795 of the family's 1533-position model. The record is from RNAcentral.